UCUACAUUACCCAGGUCUACAUUACUUUACACAUUACCACACAGGUACACACAGGUACACACGGGUACACACAGCUACACACAGCUACACAGAGCUACACACAGGUACACAUGGGUACACACAGCUACACACAGCUACACACAGCUACACACAGGUCUACAUUACUCUACAUUACUUUACACAGCUACACACAGGUACACACGGGUACACACAGGUACACACAGCUACACACAGGUACACACGGGUACACACAGGUACACACAGCUACACACAGGUACACAUUACUCUACAUUACGUUACACAGGUACACACGGGUACACACAGCUACACACAGGUACACACGGGUACACACAGCUACACACAGGUACACACAGGUACACACAGGUACACACAGGUACAUUACUCUACAGAAGGAUGACAGAAUAUCUCCUAAAGAACACGUCUUACCUUCAGAUACAAAAGCAUCUUUGAAUGAGAGACAAAAAUAAGGGACGUGUGAGUCAGUUGUUAGAAUUAUUUCAAAAGCUUUUCCACGAGGUGGAGAAAGUAAGGAAACAGCCCAAGUGUUGCACCUCUAAUGUGUAAUGAAGCAAUGAAAAACUCUGUGAGUGUGUGUGUGUGUGUGUGUGUGUGUGUGUGUGUGUGUGUGUGUGUGUGUGUGUGUUUGUUUUCCGUUGACCAUAUUUCUCACAAAGUAAACACAUCAAAUGAAGCCAUUUAUCCAUUUGUCCAACUUUUCAUCCCCCAAAAAUGUGUAGUUGCAUCAUACAAGCGUUGAAGUGCAGUUUUCUGAAUAGUGACUGUAAAGCCGUCCUUCUGUCAUCGGAGUGGAAAUAAAAGCUUUUAUUAAAACAAGCUUCGCGGACCAGAGGCACUGCGCAUGUCGAAGCAUUAACGGGGGGCACCUCAGUGCUUCCAAAUUGGCCCAUAAAAACAAAGUCCAACGUAACAGAAACCUAAAUCUAAUAUAAAAGAAGAAUGCUGAAAACACGCAGGCCGGAGGAGCCUGUAAAUCACCUGAUUAGUCCUUCGCAGGUACGGUAAACAGAAUAAAAAAUAAUGGCUGUGUGCGCGGCCCAUGCGGGGCGCUUUGGUGUGUGAACCGGCCGGUGUGCGCGUGCACAGAGUAACAAGUCGUACUCGUAGUAAUUCUGUGGAAUUCCUGUGGUCCUGCAGCAGCCGGC
Molecule: long non-coding RNA, 1184 nt
Organism: Gasterosteus aculeatus aculeatus (three-spined stickleback)
Lineage: Eukaryota; Metazoa; Chordata; Actinopteri; Perciformes; Gasterosteidae
Source: Ensembl